Malus domestica (apple) is the source of this 691-nucleotide non-coding RNA. NCBI's taxonomy places the organism in Eukaryota, Viridiplantae, Streptophyta, Magnoliopsida, Rosales, Rosaceae. The record is from RefSeq and is a predicted model, not a curated record.
UAUGCAUCUUCAUAAUUGCUUAUGAGGUGAAAUCUAGUUUCACCACAUUACAAAGUCCCAAAAGAUACAAGUGUAGUCAGUCACGUGGGUUUAAUUUUAAACCAGAAUGCUAUCUGGUUCUUCAUUUCUCAUCAAUCUUGUCUUCUUCGGAAAGCUCAGCUUCUCUCAUUUCUCCCUAAAAAAAUUAUUGAAAAUUCGUAACUUUCUUUCUACUCGUCCAUUUGACAAAAGAUUUUUGCCUACGAAUUUAGUGAACGUAGCCAAACAAGUUUAGGUUCAAUCGAGAUUAAGGAGCCAAGCUGGAGGAAUUCAGGUAAGCUAUAAGCUUAUAUAUUGUUGCUGUUAAGUUUUGGGGAAGAAUUCAAGCAAGCUACGGAAGCCUUUGAAGCUGGGCAGUGGCUUGGCUUGAAGGCUGGAACUUGGAAGGGAAGGGCGAAGGUGUGAAGCGGGGAAUCUAGGCAGUGGCUUGAAGGCUGGCUUGUCUUCUUGAGUUGAUUCAUGGGGGCUCCAAUAAGGUUAAUCCCUAUAUGUCAGUUUUUUUUUUUUUUCAGUACAUUGAUAUUUUUACAUUAAGGGAAUGGGGAGUAUAGCUAAGCCACACAAUGGACAGUCUAAUUUGGUAUUGAUGCAAAUAAGGUCAAAAUCACAUGAAACACUUGGAAGAAUACAAGGAUGUUGUAGUAUAGAUCCU